UACGGAGGAUGCGAGCGUUAUCCGGAUUUAUUGGGUUUAAAGGGUGCGUAGGCGGGCUGUUAAGUCAGCGGUCAACUGUCGGGGCUCAACCCCGGCCUGCCGUUGAAACUGGCGGCCUCGAGUGGGCGAGAAGUACGCGGAAUGCGUGGUGUAGCGGUGAAAUGCAUAGAUAUCACGCAGAACUCCGAUUGCGAAGGCAGCGUACCGGCAUCCAACUGACGCUGAGGCACGAAAGCGUGGGGAUCAAACAGG
This 252-nucleotide ribosomal RNA is filed under the name uncultured bacterium. RNAcentral describes it as "partial 16S ribosomal RNA". It matches the Rfam family "Bacterial small subunit ribosomal RNA", at positions 524 to 776 of the family's 1533-position model. The record is from RNAcentral.